RNAcentral lists this ribosomal RNA (468 nucleotides) under uncultured bacterium. RNAcentral describes it as "partial 16S ribosomal RNA". It matches the Rfam family "Bacterial small subunit ribosomal RNA", at positions 28 to 507 of the family's 1533-position model. The record is from RNAcentral.
GACGAACGCUGGCGGCGUGCUUAACACAUGCAAGUCGAACGGAAAGGCCCUGCUUUUGUGGGGUGCUCGAGUGGCGAACGGGUGAGUAACACGUGAGUAACCUGCCCUUGACUUUGGGAUAACUUCAGGAAACUGGGGCUAAUACCGGAUAGGAGCUCCUGCUGCAUGGUGGGGGUUGGAAAGUUUCGGCGGUUGGGGCUGGACUCGCGGGUUAUCAGCUUGUUGGUGGGGUAGUGGCUUACCAAGGCUUUGACGGGUAGCCGGCCUGAGAGGGUGACCGGCCACAUUGGGACUGAGAUACGGCCCAGAAUCCUACGGGAGGCAGCAGUGGGGAAUAUUGCACAAUGGGGGGAAGGCUGAUGCGGCAACGCCGCGUGCGGGAUGACGGCCUUCGGGUUGUGAACCGCUUUCGCCUGUGACGAAGCGUGAGUGACGGUAAUGGGUAAAGAAGCACCGGCUAACUACGUG